AUGAAGGCUAGCUGGAUCGUUCUCAUCCACCAAUCCAGUAGUCCGUGGCGUCUCGUGGAUAUCUACACCCAGCGAGAGAUCACCCUUCCAUCAUUGGAUACCGCCGCCAUCGAGCCUCGCAGCCCCAGAUACAAAUGCGUUGGCCUUCAUGAUUCCAGGACCUGGAAUCAUACCAGCCGAUGGUACCAUAUAACUGGAAUUAACCGAUGCAACUCGAAGAAGGAUUGGCCGGUGCUGCCGACUGGCGUCAAGUUCGAUCCCACGGAUCAGGAGCUGAUCGAGCACCUUGAGGCCAAAGUGAGUGCUGAUAGCAUGAGAUCUCACCCUCUCAUCAAUUUGUUCAUACCAACCAUCGACAGCGAGCACGACAUAUGCUACACCCAUCCUGAGAAACUUCCAGGUAUCACACUGAGUGGCCUAAGCAAGCAUUUCUUCCAGCGCAAUUCCAGGGCGUUCAAAAGGGGCACGUGGACGCGUCGCAAGAUACACUCAGAGUGCGGCAUGCACGUGAUGUGGCACAAGACCGGCAAUACCUUGCCGGUGAUGGUCAAUGGCUGGCAGACGGGCAGCAAAAAGGUUCUGGUACUACACACCAACAAGAACUUCGACCAUUCCCGCAAAAAAAAGAACUUCGACCAGCAGAGGACCAACUGCGUGAUGCACCAGUACCACCGGGAACCUGGAGCAAGAGAAGGAGCUGGUCCUCUGCAAGAUUUUCUACCAGACAAACACUAG
This 735-nucleotide ribosomal RNA is filed under the name Triticum aestivum (bread wheat). RNAcentral's name for it is "partial small subunit ribosomal RNA". Lineage: Eukaryota; Viridiplantae; Streptophyta; Magnoliopsida; Poales; Poaceae. The record is from RNAcentral.